RNAcentral lists this ribosomal RNA (170 nucleotides) under uncultured bacterium. Its description in RNAcentral is "partial 16S ribosomal RNA". It matches the Rfam family "Bacterial small subunit ribosomal RNA", at positions 1332 to 1500 of the family's 1533-position model. The record is from RNAcentral.
UCGCUAGUAAUCGCGAAUCAGAAUGUCGCGGUGAAUACGUUCCCGGGUCUUGUACACACCGCCCGUCACACCAUGGGAGUCAGUAACGCCCGAAGCCGGUGACCCAACCGAUAAGGAGGGAGCCGUCGAAGGUGGGACCGAUAACUGGGGUGAAGUCGUAACAAGGUAAC